RNAcentral lists this ribosomal RNA (1528 nucleotides) under Klebsiella pneumoniae. RNAcentral's name for it is "bacterial SSU rRNA". It matches the Rfam family "Bacterial small subunit ribosomal RNA". Lineage: Bacteria; Pseudomonadati; Pseudomonadota; Gammaproteobacteria; Enterobacterales; Enterobacteriaceae. The record is from RNAcentral.
AGAGUUUGAUCAUGGCUCAGAUUGAACGCUGGCGGCAGGCCUAACACAUGCAAGUCGAGCGGUAGCACAGAGAGCUUGCUCUCGGGUGACGAGCGGCGGACGGGUGAGUAAUGUCUGGGAAACUGCCUGAUGGAGGGGGAUAACUACUGGAAACGGUAGCUAAUACCGCAUAACAUCGCAAGACCAAAGUGGGGGACCUUCGGGCCUCAUGCCAUCAGAUGUGCCCAGAUGGGAUUAGCUAGUAGGUGGGGUAAUGGCUCACCUAGGCGACGAUCCCUAGCUGGUCUGAGAGGAUGACCAGCCACACUGGAACUGAGACACGGUCCAGACUCCUACGGGAGGCAGCAGUGGGGAAUAUUGCACAAUGGGCGCAAGCCUGAUGCAGCCAUGCCGCGUGUGUGAAGAAGGCCUUCGGGUUGUAAAGCACUUUCAGCGGGGAGGAAGGCGAUAAGGUUAAUAACCUUGUCGAUUGACGUUACCCGCAGAAGAAGCACCGGCUAACUCCGUGCCAGCAGCCGCGGUAAUACGGAGGGUGCAAGCGUUAAUCGGAAUUACUGGGCGUAAAGCGCACGCAGGCGGUCUGUCAAGUCGGAUGUGAAAUCCCCGGGCUCAACCUGGGAACUGCAUUCGAAACUGGCAGGCUAGAGUCUUGUAGAGGGGGGUAGAAUUCCAGGUGUAGCGGUGAAAUGCGUAGAGAUCUGGAGGAAUACCGGUGGCGAAGGCGGCCCCCUGGACAAAGACUGACGCUCAGGUGCGAAAGCGUGGGGAGCAAACAGGAUUAGAUACCCUGGUAGUCCACGCCGUAAACGAUGUCGAUUUGGAGGUUGUGCCCUUGAGGCGUGGCUUCCGGAGCUAACGCGUUAAAUCGACCGCCUGGGGAGUACGGCCGCAAGGUUAAAACUCAAAUGAAUUGACGGGGGCCCGCACAAGCGGUGGAGCAUGUGGUUUAAUUCGAUGCAACGCGAAGAACCUUACCUGGUCUUGACAUCCACAGAACUUUCCAGAGAUGGAUUGGUGCCUUCGGGAACUGUGAGACAGGUGCUGCAUGGCUGUCGUCAGCUCGUGUUGUGAAAUGUUGGGUUAAGUCCCGCAACGAGCGCAACCCUUAUCCUUUGUUGCCAGCGGUUCGGCCGGGAACUCAAAGGAGACUGCCAGUGAUAAACUGGAGGAAGGUGGGGAUGACGUCAAGUCAUCAUGGCCCUUACGACCAGGGCUACACACGUGCUACAAUGGCAUAUACAAAGAGAAGCGACCUCGCGAGAGCAAGCGGACCUCAUAAAGUAUGUCGUAGUCCGGAUUGGAGUCUGCAACUCGACUCCAUGAAGUCGGAAUCGCUAGUAAUCGUAGAUCAGAAUGCUACGGUGAAUACGUUCCCGGGCCUUGUACACACCGCCCGUCACACCAUGGGAGUGGGUUGCAAAAGAAGUAGGUAGCUUAACCUUCGGGAGGGCGCUUACCACUUUGUGAUUCAUGACUGGGGUGAAGUCGUAACAAGGUAACCGUAGGGGAACCUGCGGUUGGAUCACCU